This 252-nucleotide ribosomal RNA is filed under the name uncultured bacterium. Its description in RNAcentral is "partial 16S ribosomal RNA". It matches the Rfam family "Bacterial small subunit ribosomal RNA", at positions 524 to 776 of the family's 1533-position model. The record is from RNAcentral.
UACAGAGGUCUCAAGCGUUGUUCGGAUUCAUUGGGCGUAAAGGGUGCGUAGGCGGCUGUGGAAGUCGGUGUGAAAUCUCAGGGCUCAACCCUGAAACUGCAUUCGAUACUGCGUGGCUAGAGUGCUGGAGAGGAGACUGGAAUUUACGGUGUAGCAGUGAAAUGCGUAGAUAUCGUAAGGAAGACCAGUGGCGAAGGCGAGUCUCUGGACAGCAACUGACGCUGAGGCACGAAGGCCAGGGGAGCAAACGGG